CGGACGGGUGAGUAACACGUAGAGAACCUACCUUACACAGGGGGACAACGGCUGGAAACGGCUGCUAAUACCGCAUAAGCACCCAGUUUCGCAUGAAACAGAGUGAAAAGAGUAAAUCGGUGUAAGAUGGCUCUGCGUCUGAUUAGCUAGUUGGUGGGGUAAAGGCUCACCAAGGCGACGAUCAGUAGCCGGCCUGAGAGGGCGGCCGGCCACAUUGGGACUGAGACACGGCCCAGACUCCUACGGAAGGCAGCAG
Molecule: ribosomal RNA, 256 nt
Filed under: uncultured bacterium
Lineage: Bacteria
Description: partial 16S ribosomal RNA
Rfam family: Bacterial small subunit ribosomal RNA
Source: RNAcentral